GUACUAAAAUAUUAAAUUUAAUAUUAAAUUUUAAGAAGAAAUGAUUAUAUAAGUAAAAUUAAAAUUUGUAGAAUGAUUAUUUUUUUAAAGUGAAAUAUUAGAAAUUAAAAUUAUAAAUUAAUCAUGAAAUAAAAAAGGAACUCGGCAAAAAGAUUUCUUGCCUGUUUAUCAAAAACAUGUCUAUUUGAGGUUAUGUAUAGUCUAGCCUGCUCACUGACAAAAAUGUUAAAUAGCCGCGGUAUUUUGACCGUGCAAAGGUAGCAUAAUCAUUAGUUUUUUAAUUGAAAACUUGUAUGAAUGGUUGGACAAAGAAAAAGCUGUCUCUUUUAUUUGAAUUGAAAUUAACUUCUAAGUGAAAAGGCUUAGAUUUUUUAGAGGGACGAUAAGACCCUAUAAAGCUUUAUAAGUUAAGUAAGUUAAAUUAAUUUUUUAAAAUAAAAAUAAGCUUAAAAAAAUUUAUUUGGUUGGGGCGACAAUGGUAUAAAUUAAAUAACUGCUAUUAAAAUUAAGCAAUUAUAUUUGAUUAGAAUUAUAAUUGAUCCUUAUUAUGGAUUAAAAGAUCAAGUUACUUUAGGGAUAACAGCGUAAUUUCUUUUGAGAGUUCUUAUCAAAGAAGAAGUUUGCGACCUCGAUGUUGAAUUAAAAUGUCUUUAUAGUGCAGAAGCUAUAAAAGAAGGUCUGUUCGACCUUUAAUUUUUUACAUGAUUUGAGUUCAGACCGGUGUAAGCCAGGUCGGUUUCUAUCUUCUAAAAAGAAAUAAAUUACUUUAGUAC
RNAcentral lists this unclassified non-coding RNA (773 nucleotides) under Scylla paramamosain (green mud crab). Its description in RNAcentral is "partial 16S ribosomal RNA". It matches the Rfam family "Bacterial large subunit ribosomal RNA", at positions 1247 to 2684 of the family's 2925-position model. The record is from RNAcentral. Lineage: Eukaryota; Metazoa; Arthropoda; Malacostraca; Decapoda; Portunidae.